CCUACGGGUGGCAGCAGUGAGGAAUAUUGGUCAAUGGUCGGGAGUCUGAACCAGCCAAGCAGCGUGCGGGAUGAAGGUACUGAGUAUCGUAAACUUCUUUUGUGCGGGGAUAAACUGGGUCACGCGUCGCUUGUUGAAGGUACCGGAAGAAUAAGCACCGGCUAACUCCGUGCCAGCAGCCGCGGUAAUACGGAGGAUCCGGGCGUUAUCCGGAUUUAUUGGGUUUAAAGGGUGCGCAGGCCGUCCCGUAAGUGUGUUGUGAAAGGCCGGGGCUCAACCCCGGCCCCGCGGUUGAACCUGGCGGUCUCGAGUGGGCGGGAGGUAUGCGGAAUGCGUGGUGUAGCGGUGAAAUGCGUAGAUAUCGCGAAGAACUCCGAUUGCGAAGGCAGCAUACCGGAGCCACACUGACGCUGAGGCACGAAAGCGUGGGUAUCGAACAGGAUUAGAUACCCGAGUAGUC
RNAcentral lists this ribosomal RNA (460 nucleotides) under uncultured bacterium. RNAcentral's name for it is "partial 16S ribosomal RNA". It matches the Rfam family "Bacterial small subunit ribosomal RNA", at positions 338 to 795 of the family's 1533-position model. The record is from RNAcentral.